CAUCUCCCUGGGUUCUUGGGGCCUGUGCUCACUGAGGGCAGGGGUGGCUCGGGAUACUUCAAGGUCUCAAGUCCCGGCCUUUGAAUGCUGAACUAUUGAUAAAGGAGGGAUGCAGGGAUCAGAUCUGGGUAGGGGGCCAGAAUGUCUGUUCUGUUCCUAUUCUGUUUCAUCACGUGUUUGUGCGGGGUAUGUGUGCAAUUCUUUGAGCUACGUGAAAGUGAGGCUGCAGAUAGCAUGCCAGUUCACCCCCACAUACUCUGCUAGGGAUGAGCGUCUCCUGCGUAACCUCAUUGCACCUGGGGAAGUGCAGUCACUCUGCACAUCAUCUAAUGUGGGAUCUGUAUUUGGUCUCCCAGGUUGUCCCUAAAAUACCUUGAAUAGCUACUCCUUCCACUUCCCUGGACCUGGAUCCAGUCAGGCUCAUGUGGUGCAUUUGUUGCAUGUCCCUCUGGUCUCUUAAUAACCAGCCGUGGUCACCUUUUCCCUCCAUAUCAUUGCUUUAAAGAGUCCAGGCCAGCUGUCUCGUUGAGGAUCCCAUGGCCUGAAUUUGUCUUGAGUGUGUCCUUGUAGUGGGAUUUGACUUUCUACAAUCGCUAUUACUUGUUGUAAACUGGGAGAUGGGGCCAGAGGCCUGGUUGAUUUAGGAGGAAUAUUUUUACCCAAAUUAUAGUCUGUUUAACUCAGAAUAUUUUAGAUGGCACAUGAAAGAAAUGGGGACCAGUGAGAACCUAGAGGUAAUGACCUGAGAGAAAGGAGCUCUGUCUCAGCCCCCCGGACAGAUCCCCUAACCAGCUGCAUGGGAGCUUUGGCCUAAGUGGUGGUGUCCUUCCUGUUCCCACUGUGUACCAGUUACAUGACCAUGUGCCCAUAGGCUGCCUGGCCUCUCCGGGCCCUCUUCGUACUCUGAAAUGGUAAUAAUAAUGAAUGGCUAGUGAGCAUCAAAGGAGAUCAUACCAGCACCUGUCCACACUCUCCUAUUGUUUCUCAGUUCAGUGGGCUGCCUGGAAGGAAAGGAAGCAGGUGGGUACAGGUGAGGCAGAGGGGUGUGCAGCGGGCAAGAGCAGGGCCACCUGAUGGAGCACUGUGUCACCAUCAGUGCAGCCGCUGUUUGGUGUGCCAGCAUCCCCCAACCAGGGUGGCCCUCCAGACUGUGUCACAGAGGUCAUCAGAAAAUGGCCCGAGAGUUUCAUCCCACUCCCUCUGAGGCCUGAGCACCUCCUGCCUCUCUGUGGGGCUGUUCAGGUUAGCUCCUUCAGCUCUAGCUUUCCAGGGAGGUCUCCCCUUUAGCUGACUCAUUGUUUCCCUGUUCAUAUGUCUGGGCUCCAGGAGACUGACUGAGUGUCCUUUUAGUAUGUGUGGGGCUAGUGAAUUUAGUUCUCCACAGUCUUUUUUCUUAGUCACACCCUGCUAGCCCUGCACAUUCCCGCAUGCUCUGAAUUGCUCAUCCUCUCAGGCGUGGCCCAUUGUGUCUCCCCUCCAUCCUCCCUUCUCAGGCAGGUGGCUGCCCUGGCAGAGGCGCACAGGGAUAGGGCAGCCUGCGCCAAAGGACAGGCUGGAGCUUCUCGCCAGGCACCUAGAGGGAAGCUUUUUUAAAUUUUGUGUUUUUUGUAACUACUGGACAUAAUUCUGAUAUUCUAAGGAAUAUGAUGUCAUUCUCUGCUGCCCCUCCCCCCCCACUUUCUCUCCCAGAAGGACACUUUACAGAUAUUUUUUAAGCUGCAUCUCUUGAGGUGUAAUUGACAUAUGGUAAAAUUUACCCUUCCUCGUGUGUACAAUUAGAUGAAUUUUUACCCAUGUGUGCAGUCACAUCACCAACACCACCAACACAGAAUUGCCACACCCCAAAGAAUUCCUUCAUGCCUCUCUGUGACUGGCUAGAUCUUUAAGCAGUGAUAGUAUUUUAGGCUAACAAGCCCUUGACCUGAAAUAGUUGAUGUCGUCAUGCUUAAAAAGGAGGCUGUCGAAAUUUUAUCCAAGUAGCCUGUGCUCAGACUGGACAAAGCCUCCUGCUUUGUGAAUUGUGACUUCAGAGAGGACCCGAUUGGGCAGCUGGUUCCCACUGAGGUUUUGCAGGACUCUCUCUGAUUUGAAGUACUGAUUAGAAUAGUUCAUGUAAUUUUGGUAUUUACCUGUAAGACCAGAAUAACAUGAACUGGAAGAUAAAGGUCACACUUGCCUUUAGUUAAGUGCUUUUUUUUUUAAUCAACUUAAAAAGGAUUAGCGAUUCAAAUGUAAGAACCAUAAAAAUAUACAAGUAUUAGAAUAAAACAAGGAUAAAUUCAUUUAUAACCUAGACGUAGGGAAAGACUUUUAAGCUAGGACUCAAACUCCAGAAAUAAUAGGAUGAUAAAUUUGAUAUUAACUAUAAAAAAAACCUUUAAGGUUUGCAUUGUAAGAAUAUACUAUAACAAACAAAAAUAACAAACUGGAGAAAGUAUUUGUAGCAAAUCACAGAUAAAGUGUAAUACCUCUAAUGCAGAAAAAAGAACUCUUAGAAAUCAAAGUUUAAAAAAUGCCAAAAAUUGCAUAGAAAAAGGGCAAAGACCUGAUGAGAGAGUUCACAAACAAGUCAAAAAAGUCACACACUGGCCCUUCACCACAUGAAAUGAUCAUCAAAUUGAUUUAUUAGGAAGCAAAUACAAACUAAAGCUACUCUCAGAUACCAUUUCUCACCUUUGUGAGUUGACAGAAAAUUUAAAAAAUUUAACUCUUAUGGUAAGCCUGUGGGAGAACAGGCAUUCUUCAAAAUUGCUUUCAGGAGUGAAAAUAGUUGAAUCCCUGUGAAGAGGAAUUUUAUAAUAUCUCGAGUAUCUAUGCACUUACCAUUUGAUCUAGUAACCCCACUUCUAGAAAUUUACCCUGAAGAAAUUUACUACCACAAAUGCAAAACAACAUACAGAAAGUUACCUAUUGCUAUAUAAUUUGUAAUGGCAAAAUAUUUAACACAACUUAAAUGCCCAUCUAUAUACAGGAGACAGUGAAGUCCUAUGCAGCCCUGAGAAAGAAUGAGAGCAAUCUCUAGAACUGGUAUAGAGUAAGUUCCAGGAUAUAUUGGAAAAGCAAGUUGCAAAAAAGUGUGUGUGUGUGUGUCUGUGUGUGUGUGUGUCUAUGUGCGUCUGUGUGUGUGAAGAAAUAAGGAUAAAAUUAAUGAAAAUGGUUAACUACAUGGGUAAGAGGGGGUAGGGAUGCUAGUGACACUUACCCAGAUUUCUAAAAGGAAGAAAAGCAAACUCUAAAUUGAAUACAAACAGAACAAGUGAAUCUAACUAUAUAUCAAAAGAACUCACAGACUUUAGAAUGUAGUACUUUGCAUACCCUGAGUGGAUUAUAUUCUAAAGACACCCCCCCUACCACCAAAAAGAAAGACAACCAACCAAACCAACCUUGAACUUGGUAGUCUUGUUAGUUAUGACAUUGAUGAUAUUUUGGAACCGUGCUGUAUGGUAUUACAGGAUAGAUCAAAUUCAUAAAUAUGUUGACAUUGGAAAUUUGGAUGUGCUAUGUAGAGGAGAUAAGCAUGUGGGAAGAAGGUAAUCCAGGGGUACUGGGUUGAAUUGGAGGUAUCAUUAUGACCCUGUGAUUCAGAAAAGAACUCUGUCUCUGCUCACUAAAUGCCAUCCCAGUACACUAAGCCCAUUAGUGCUCAGAUCUUGAUUUCUAAAUACCAUUCUCCACUAAAAUAAACCAGGGCUUCUUUGGAGAAGUGGUUGACUACAGGGCUGGGGCUGAAAGAAAAAUACAUGUGGAGCCUGGAGCAUCUUGUGCCAGAAAGCAAGGAACUGCUCAGAGAAUAAGGGGUGGUAAGGGAGAGUUAUGUUGGAAAGAAUGCAAAUCUGCUUGAACAGGCUGCUUUGGGCAACUUUGGGACCAUUUAAUUAUUAAAAAAGAUAAUCAUGCCUCAUGUAAUUGUAGAUUAAUGAUACCAAAAAAAAUAUAUAUAUAUAUA
Molecule: long non-coding RNA, 3946 nt
Organism: Manis pentadactyla (Chinese pangolin)
Lineage: Eukaryota; Metazoa; Chordata; Mammalia; Pholidota; Manidae
Exons: 2
Source: RefSeq, a predicted model, not a curated record